RNAcentral lists this transfer RNA (73 nucleotides) under Micromonas pusilla CCMP1545. RNAcentral describes it as "tRNA-Arg". It matches the Rfam family "tRNA". Rfam says of the family: Transfer RNA (tRNA) molecules are approximately 80 nucleotides in length. Their secondary structure includes four short double-helical elements and three loops (D, anti-codon, and T loops). Further hydrogen bonds mediate the characteristic L-shaped molecular structure. tRNAs have two regions of fundamental functional importance: the anti-codon, which is responsible for specific mRNA codon recognition, and the 3' end, to which the tRNAs corresponding amino acid is attached (by aminoacyl-tRNA synthetases). tRNAs cope with the degeneracy of the genetic code in two manners: having more than one tRNA (with a specific anti-codon) for a particular amino acid; and 'wobble' base-pairing, i.e. permitting non-standard base-pairing at the 3rd anti-codon position. The record is from RNAcentral. Lineage: Eukaryota; Viridiplantae; Chlorophyta; Mamiellophyceae; Mamiellales; Mamiellaceae.
ACACCUGUAACUCAAUGGAUAGAGUGUCACACUACGGAUGUGAAAGUUGUGGGUUCGACUCCUGCCAGGUGUG